CCUGAGUGGCUUAGGCCUAACUCCCUAAACCCAUAGUGAACGAUACCUAGCGUUGCUUCGGCUGGAUCGCCCGGGCGCCUUGCAGUACCCCUGAUCCAUGGCGGCACGCCGGGGACUCUUACUACUUGUUUUAUCUUCUGAGUACUUUUUACAAAUAAGUAA
This 162-nucleotide unclassified non-coding RNA is filed under the name soil metagenome. Its description in RNAcentral is "partial internal transcribed spacer 1". The record is from RNAcentral.